Molecule: ribosomal RNA, 860 nt
Filed under: uncultured Clostridia bacterium
Lineage: Bacteria; Bacillati; Bacillota; Clostridia
Description: bacterial SSU rRNA
Rfam family: Bacterial small subunit ribosomal RNA
Source: RNAcentral
GAUUACGCUGGCGGCGUGCAUAACACUUGCAAGUCGAACGAUGAAACUUAAAUGAUCUCUUCGGAGUGAAUUUAAGUGGAUUAGUGGCGGACGGGUGAGUAACGCGUGAGUAACCUGCCUUAGAGAAGGGGAUAGCCUUUGGAAACGAAGAAUAAUACCCUAUGAAACCAUAACCUCGCAUGAGGCCUUGGUCAAAGAUUUAUCGCUCUAAGAUGGACUUGCGUCUGAUUAGUUAGUUGGUGGGGUAACGGCCUACCAAGACAGCGAUCAGUAGCCGGCUUGAGAGAGUGUACGGCCACAUUGGGACUGAGACACGGCCCAGACUCCUACGGGAGGCAGCAGUGGGGAAUUUUGCACAAUGGGGGAAACCCUGAUGCAGCGACGCCGCGUGAUUUAGAAGGCCUUCGGGUUGUAAAAAUCUUUUCUAUGGGAAGAAAAUGACAGUACCAUAGGAAUAAGGACCGGCUAAUUACGUGCCAGCAGCCGCGGUAAUACGUAAGGUCCGAGCGUUGUCCGGAAUCAUUGGGCGUAAAGGGUACGUAGGCGGGUAAGCAAGUUAGAAGUGAAAUCCUAUAGCUCAACUAUAGUAAGCUUUUAAAACUGCUCAUCUUGAGGUAUGGAAGGGAAAGUGGAAUUCCUAGUGUAGCGGUGAAAUGCGCAGAUAUUAGGAGGAAUACCGGUGGCGAAGGCGACUUUCUGGCCAUAACCUGACGCUGAGGUACGAAAGCGUGGGUAGCAAACAGGAUUAGAUACCCUGGUAGUCCACGCCGUAAACGAUGAGUGUUAGGUGUCUGGAGUAAAUCUGGGUGCCGCAGCUAACGCAUUAAACACUCCGCCUGGGGAGUACGCGCGCAAGCGUA